This 340-nucleotide ribosomal RNA is filed under the name Salmonella enterica. RNAcentral's name for it is "bacterial SSU rRNA". It matches the Rfam family "Bacterial small subunit ribosomal RNA", at positions 636 to 975 of the family's 1533-position model. The record is from RNAcentral. RNAcentral also lists the same sequence under 1 other name. Lineage: Bacteria; Pseudomonadati; Pseudomonadota; Gammaproteobacteria; Enterobacterales; Enterobacteriaceae.
GCAGGCUUGAGUCUUGUAGAGGGGGGUAGAAUUCCAGGUGUAGCGGUGAAAUGCGUAGAGAUCUGGAGGAAUACCGGUGGCGAAGGCGGCCCCCUGGACAAAGACUGACGCUCAGGUGCGAAAGCGUGGGGAGCAAACAGGAUUAGAUACCCUGGUAGUCCACGCCGUAAACGAUGUCUACUUGGAGGUUGUGCCCUUGAGGCGUGGCUUCCGGAGCUAACGCGUUAAGUAGACCGCCUGGGGAGUACGGCCGCAAGGUUAAAACUCAAAUGAAUUGACGGGGGCCCGCACAAGCGGUGGAGCAUGUGGUUUAAUUCGAUGCAACGCGAAGAACCUUACC